This is a long non-coding RNA of Pipistrellus kuhlii (Kuhl's pipistrelle), 197 nucleotides long. RefSeq lists it as uncharacterized. The transcript has 6 exons. The record is from RefSeq and is a predicted model, not a curated record. Lineage: Eukaryota; Metazoa; Chordata; Mammalia; Chiroptera; Vespertilionidae.
GGACCUGGGUUCGAUUCCGGUCAAGGGCAUGUACCUUGUCGCUCUGCUUCCUUAAAAACCAAGAUGAGUCAUACUCCAGUUGAGCAGUCCAUGAUGGACUUGGUCAUCCUGUUCCACAAAUACAUCAAACCUUGAUGACAAGAUUGACAAGCAUGGCCUGCUAAAGAUGGUGGAGAGUCGUGUAGGGCAAGAGGGUA